RNAcentral lists this unclassified non-coding RNA (166 nucleotides) under uncultured Chaetothyriales. Its description in RNAcentral is "sequence contains ITS2". Lineage: Eukaryota; Fungi; Ascomycota; Eurotiomycetes; Chaetothyriales. The record is from RNAcentral.
UCACAAUAUCAAGCUUGGCUUGUUGUUGGGCCCUUUUGUCACCUGGUGACAGGUCCAAAAGACAAUAACCGGUGUCAUACAGACUCUAUAUGCAACGAGCUUAUCACAGCACGCAUCUGGUGGUCGUGUGGCCUGGUUUUCACUUUGAUAAACAUAUAUUUCUCAA